UCGAUAAGCCAUUGGAGGGCAAGUCUGGUGCCAGCAGCCGCGGUAAUUCCAGCUCCAAUAGCGUAUAUUAACGUUGUUGCAGUUAAAAAGCUCGUAGUUGAAGUGAGGGAGUGUGUGUUGUGAUCGAAUCGAUCGAGAGCAGUACAACCUCCCCCUUCCAAUGGGUGUAUUGGGGUAUUCAUUUACUUCAUUACUCCUUUGGUCGUUUACUGUGAGAAAAUUAGAGUGUUCAAAGCGGGCGUUUGUUUGAAUAGAUUAGCAUGGAAUAAUGAUUGAAGGCUUUCGUGUUCGAUUUGAUUGGUUUGUUCAUGGAAGCAAGGUUAAAAGGAACAGUUGGGGGUAUUCAUAUUCACUAGUUAGAGGUGAAAUUCUCGGAUUUAUGGAAGAUGAACAAGGCCGAAAGCAA
This 406-nucleotide ribosomal RNA is filed under the name Blastocystis sp. subtype 2. RNAcentral's name for it is "SSU rRNA". It matches the Rfam family "Eukaryotic small subunit ribosomal RNA", at positions 537 to 954 of the family's 1831-position model. The record is from RNAcentral. Lineage: Eukaryota; Bigyra; Opalinata; Blastocystidae.